AAAAGUGCAAAUUCAGGUCCCAACUCUGUACUGUGUUGCAGUAUUUUAUGCUUCUGGUUUAUUAUUUGUCACUAAAUGCCUGUGAAUCAUAUUUACUAUUGCAUGCCACUGGGAAGGUUACACUGAAGCAGAAUAAUUUGAAUACUGAUUUUAGAAGUCUGACUCUUAAUAUCUCAGAUCACCUCUUUGAACAUUCUCCCAGUGGAUAGUUUUGCAUUACAUGUUGUUUUCUUAAAAUGUUUAGGAGGAGUUGUUAUAGAAAUAGUGCAACUUUUUCCCAUAUCUUCUUCACUUUAAGAGAAAUUUGUCUGCAAUAUUUUCAGAGUUAUAUUUAUGUUUAUUAAUGCUUAAGGAUUCAUAGGCCAGGGCACUGGCCUUCCAUCAAGUUUGUUGUUUUCAAGAUCUAACCCCUUGCUGGGGAUUGGCAACUCGGGAUUUCAGAUUUAAUUGUGUUUGUCAUGCUGUGCCCUGUGUUAACAGGCAGCUUUUGAUAUUGAUCAAGUCAGGGAUUGAAGUCGAUGAAGUUGUGAAGUUUGAGUCAAUUCUCUGCCAGCAUUCAGAAUUUCAGGAGGAAGCCCACGAGUGGCUGGUUAACAAAUGCUUGUGAGUUGUGUUUUUGCACCAAAUAUGUCUGGGAAACCCAGUGUUGGUGAAGCACAUUUCCCUAGGAACCGAAGAUGAAGGAAUGGAUGUGUAGCUGAGAAGUACAUUAAUGAAUUACUGACAAAUAUUUAUGCAUUGUUGGCUUCUGACCUGCAGCCUGACUUGGGCAUGUGUUGGGUUUCCAUUUGUAACAACACUGUAAUUAUCAGACAGAGAGCAGAGCAUGGUAAUAGUCCUCAUGGGUACUUCCAGUAAUAAAUAUAAUUGAGUUCACUGAAUAACAGUCCUAAAUGUGCAUUGAUUUCUGAAAAGAGAAAGAAAUAGCAAAAUGAUUUCCAAUUAAAUAUUUAUUUUAUUAGUGCAGGAGUUCAGGAGGAAUCUUAAAAUUUACCACUAUGCUUUGAAGCAAUCUACUGGGGGAAAUUGUAAUUUUAAAAAUUGCACCAUGAGUUAAAUUUAUACCAACUCAAAAUACCAAACUGUUUUAACGAGCUGUGUGCUGUAUAAAUGAAUAGAUUAAAGCUGUGUUUGUGUCAGAACCUGAAGGUGCUACCACUGUGGAGUUCUACUCCAGCAGCUUUCACACAUCACAUGGCAGCUGUGGAAGAUGCAUUGCUAUUAAAUCUGCAAGGCUAUCAAAGAAAGGGCCUCUGAGGUGUCUGAUCUGUUUAAUCUGAUAAUUAAAUGGUAAUUAUGCAGUUCAGCCAUUCUAGUGUAAGAGUUUGUUUAAGGCAAUGUUGGAAAUUAAGAUCUUAUGUAGAGUAGAGACUUUUUGGGGGGUAUACUGUACUUUUUUGAUUGCUAAAAUUGGGUGUAUCAAUAAAAAUGUUCAUGGAUCUAGAAUAAGAAUGACCACUGAAAGAAAUACCAACAAAAGGAUGAUAGAAAAUUUAAUUUAAUAAUUCCAUCCUUUAAAGCAUCCUGUUGCUUUAAAUUGGAAAUGAUUUUUUAACUAAAUCAAAAGCCUACUGUGGAGUUCCAUACCAAGAGAAACAUGUGACAAAUCUUUCCUGCAUAAAUAUUGGAACUAGGAGAUCUAGUGUGCAAGGACUGAAAGCUCGCCUCACUGAAAAAUAUUUCAUAACCUUGAUACUAAGUUUAUGCUGUGUAAAAAUUGAUAUAUUCAAGAAUACACCCUAUUUCCCCUCCUGCCAUACGAGAACGUUUCCCUCUAUAGAGAAUUCUGUCUUCCAGAUGCAGUAUUUUAAUUGAAUAAUUUUGUUAGCCCAAGUUUUCCGUAUUAUUUUCUAACACUGACAUUUUAUCAUCUAGAGAUAUAUGUAUGUAGUCACUGAAGACCAAUUCAGCAUUGGAAUGGUUGCACUGUGAGCUUCACUAUUGACUUCAUAGCAUGAGUUUUUCUGGUUCUGAUUUUGCAAGUUGAAAACAUUUGGAGGAACUCGAAAAUCUCACUUAUAUUUUUGGUAGCUAAUAUUUUACCUAAGGGGAACAGCUCUUUCCAACUUAUGCAGUGAUUAUUUCUAAUCCUGGAAUAGUGCCUUCUGAUGUCUUAGCAUUUGGAAGUACAAGUGAUACUUGAUAUAAAUUAUUCAGUGUUCUUGAAAUAUCAUUUAUAACAUAAUACAGUAUAGCCUUACUGGUGGCUGCAAGGCAUACUCGGCCUAUGGGCUUAUUUUGUGCAGACCUGGACUAAAAGGACUGAGGAGACCAAUGAAACAGCAAAUGAGAUGGGAAGAGGUGCUUCCUUGCAGCAGUUCUUUGUUUCAUGCUUAUUCUAUCCUUUGAACAUUCACCUUUCACUCUUCUUAAAACAGUGACCUCUUCCUGAGCUGGGUGGUUGAGUCUGAGCUGUGCACCUUACCUUGCAAAGGAGAAGGUUCAAAACUUCACUGGGAGAAACAAAUGUUCUUAGUGGAUUUGUUGAGUUGAUCACAUGCUUUAUUUAGAUUUGCAAUCAAAUGCAUUUCAGCUCUUCACAUGUACUUGCUUCUGAAGGUCUCACAGUGCAUGCACAGAAAGAGGUGUUUGGCCCAUUUUCUGUCUCCAAGGGGUUCUGCAGUAGUUUAAUUUCAAUGGUAUGCAAAAGCAACACUGGUUCUCUCACAUGUCUUCAGCAAAUCCCAGAAGUCAGUGACAUUAUCUAAAGCUCUUGCCUUUUACAGAAUAGUGUUCUGCUUUGAAGAAAGGAACCCCUGUAAGUUAUUGAUUACUGCUUGUGCCAUUUCUGAAGUGGUUAUGAAUUAAAACUUAAGCAAUGGACUUUGAUGUCUGAUAAAAUCAAUCUGGCAUGAGGAACCUGAGUUAACAUUCAGCAUUUGCUCUUCUAAUGCAUUUAUAGGCUUAAAAAUCUAAUGGCAUUGCAUAGGUAGCCCUUAGACUUUUGACUGGAAUACAAUUAUCCCAGCCCUUAGAUUGGGAUACAAUUUAGGGAUCACAACCAUCAGAGAUCUUUUGAUAGCUGGGCUUGAUGUAUUUUGCUGAUGGGAUAGUACUGACUAGUGCAUGUAUAUUGAAUUGUCCUGUUAUCAUUAGUGGAUUCUGCAGAGAAAGACAAAGUCCACAAAUACAAAUCAUAAAUAUGUCAAUAGAAUGUAAGUGAGGCUCAUUUAACCUUGUUUAAUAGAGAAGAAUCACUUAUAAAGUGCUAUGGGAUAUUUAAUUUAUGGUUUGGUACUUUGUUUUUCUUGGAAGAGGCUGCUCUUUGGAAGCAUAAACCCAUUUUCUGCCAUAAAAAUGUUUAAAGCUAAUAGUUGGACAUCAUCCUUUGCUAAUGCUCAAGUGACAGAGUAUAGCAGACAGGGCUUUGCUGGUGUCUUCUUGAACAGCAUGCAGCAUGAUUAACUGGACAUAGGACAACACACAAACAGAAACCUGGAGGAUUUUCUGUCCUUGCUUCCCUCACCAUCCCUAUCUCAAUUUUUUGUGGUAAUCACAAGUGCCCUGGCUUAGCCAAAGUUCAUUUGGUUACACACCCCAUCCACUAAUGUCUCCUGAAAGCAGACAACAGAGGUGUCUCUCCCUAGCAGAAGAGAAGAUAGCUUUUGUAGAUCCAUUGCCUUUCCUCCCUCCUGCUAAGUGUUUUCUUCUGGACCAGGGUGAGUCCCUGGGAACCAUGUAGGUGUUCUUCUCAUUUGCUCAGAUUCGUCAGGGAUAUGACACAAAAUGACAUUUUGCUGUCUGUGGCUUAGCAGAAGCUUCCUUUAGCUUUUUAUUUAGCUGUUUACCCUAAUAGUGUUUUAAGUGGUGUUUUUAAUUUGGCAUACCUGAACAAUCAAUAUCAUUAAAAUGCAUUUUAUGGAGAAGCUAUUGAGUGAUUUAUUCAGAAGAUGCAGAGCAUGGACAGGAGAUAAUUGUCCCUUGCCUGUAUAAAACACAUUCUAAGCACCAAGUCUAAUGACAAUAAAAAAAUCCCAGAAUUUGCAGUUGUAGCUAUUAAUCUUUCUUAAUGAAUAUAGGGGUUUUAUACCUUAGUUAUGCAAAAACUAUACUUUCAGAUGGGAGGAUUCUGAAUUAUUCAUGUUUCAGUCAUGCAUCAACACAUAUGUGUCCCUUGAGAUACCAGUGCUGUGUAUUCUGCUGUUUGUUGUUUUUGGGUUGGUUUUGUCAAUAUUUUGUGGGGAGACUGGCAAUUAGUAAACUAGUGUAACAGAAAACUGCUCUCAUAAUGCCAGACAUGGAAAAGAUAAGUAAUUUGACCCACUGGAGAGGAUUAUGUUUAAAAUGUAUUUGGAUUUUAUUUUUUUCCACUUAUUUUUUUAUCUCCCUGCUAAUUUCAUUCUUGUUAUCUUUUAAAUAAAAUCAGCAGUAAUAGAAUUACAGAUACAUUGAAAUCCAUCUCUGCAGACUGUGCAUGAUGGCUGUUGCUAUGCAAAAAUGAUGUGGUCUCAUACUGAGAAGAUUCCAAAGAUUCUUGGUGGUACAUUGUGCUUAAAAAGCACUUUUCCCAAUGAUGACUCCUUCAAAGGUUAGCUUUUAUUUAUUAGACUAUGGGCUCUCCCCCAAACAUUGCAAAGUACUCUAUAAAUAGGGCACAGAAAUACAAAUACCUUUAAAUAGUUUGCAUGCAUAAUGAUUCCUAGCAAUCCAACGAUAACCUGGAUUUCUGUGUGUAUUUGUAGAGCACAGCUGUUCUGACUGGAAAUGCUGUCUGCCCUGGAGCUCUCCCUCUAUUUUGUGGCCCACCAAGGAAUUGUUAUUGGGGGACAUACAACAUUAUUUAGGGUAAUUAGUUAGGCAGUAGUGACUUUUGGGUUUCUUCCAGCAGUGACACAUCAUCUGAAUGCUGGUUUCAGGGACAAACUGCGCUGGUAACAUGGAUUAAAUUAAACAGGGAUCAAAGUGGUUCACUGAUUUAUUGAUGGCAAGUAAUUAGCUGGCAAUCAGUAAGUUGUGCAUUAAGGAUCAACGCCAGCAGUGCAAUGGAUAAGCCACAACAUUAAGACACUUGAAAAAUAUCUAUUUGCUACAUCAAACUCCCUUGUACAACUAACCCUAACCUCCCCAAGGUUAUAUGUGCACCCCCAUCCCUUCAUUACAGAAAUAAAGUUUGGAGCCUUCCUUGGCCAUGUGCUGGAUGUGUUGCCCCCCCUCCAGUGGUGACAGAUGUGAGGGUUCUGUGUGUCCUCCAUGGCACAUCCUGGGCACUCCCUGAGGUCCCUGUGUGUUCUGGGUCCCUGGUGGUGUCCCACGGCUUGGAGUGCUGGCUGCACAUGGAGCCAGGUGAGGAGGCUGCCCAGCAGCUCCUGGGCAGGGCUGUAGUGCUGCUGGGGGGACUCCAGGACUUAGUGCCAGGCACCCUUGGAUUGCAGCUAUUCCCAUGCUGUUUCCUGCUGUUGUUACAAAUGCUUAUGUUUCUUUGUUUCAAAAGUUUCUUCCUUCUUCCCCUCGUUUCAUCCUCUUUAGCACAGUCAGUUUUGGGCACACAGUUUAUUUCUGUCUUCUCAUCAUUCCUGUAGGGAUUACUUGUAUCCUGACAUUUUGUUCUCAUAGACAGGGAAUGCUGGAUGUUCACCCCCUUUCAAGUAAGGGUUUCAAAGACAGAUGGAUGUUUCUUAUUCUCUCUGUUAUGAAUUCAUCAAGGCAGGGCAAAAUUUACAGAGCUGAUUGGGCCCUGCAGGGAUUGUUAUGUUUUGCAUUUUGUAUCAUUCUCUCUGAAGUCACAGAAUCAGGCAGUAGCAGAGGUGGAAAAGGUACCCCAGAGAUCAGACUGCCAAAUCCUGGCCUAAGUGCUAGAGACAUCUUUGCCUUCUUGUCCUGGAAUUCCUGCCUGCUCCAGCCUGUUCAAGCUUUUCUGAAGUUCAAGAUAAGUAUUUAAGUUAUGAUGAUAAUUGAUAUUAUAUCAGUUUCUUAUUUGCACUAAAGUCUCCAAGCAUUUCUUUUCCUUUCAAGAAAUAUCUUGAAGUUUAAUAGGUUUCAUGUGGAUAUCCAUAUGAUGAGGGACCUGCAAAAAUCUGAUUGUAGAAAGAGGAUUGUUCCUGGGAUUUGAUUCUUUGUAUUGAGGAGUAAGAACUACAGCCUUCAGCAUUUCUGGAAACCUUGGAAGGUGUAAGCCUUGGCUUAGCUAAAGAGCUGAGUAAUUCACUCAGAAAACAGUGAACAGUCUGCAGAGUGGUUUUUUUUUUUUUCCUCUGAGCUCUGCCAAUGUAUGUUAUGGAAAAAUGGCUAAAUGAGGAAACUCAUGAAAACAUUUCCUCAAUUCACACCUCCCACUCAACUGACAGUUCAAAAACUGAGUCAGAAGGGCUAAGAAUUGCUCAAAAGUACUGUUGGAAUUUGGCAAGCACUUUGGAGCUAGGAUUUUAUCUCUGAUUUGUAGUAAGAUAGCUACUGCUGUACCAGCUGCCAUAAGUUUUGACCAGUGAAAGUCCUUCACUGAAGAGUAAUGGUUCCAAUUCAAUUGUUUUUUUCUUGCCUCUUAUUCAGAUUUUUGAUAUUGGGAAUCCUUAGAGACUCUGUUUUGUCAGGAGAAUAGCAAACUGCUGUUGUGUUAAAUUCAGCUUCCUCUACUCGCUCCAUAUUUUAUUAGAUUGUGCUUGACUGCAUUGUCCAUGGCUGCAGUCAUCUAAAGAAUUGAAAUACUGCUGGAUUGCCCAUGUAAUGGUAAAACAAAGUGUUGGUACUGUGAGCACCAGGAGGCAAUUUUACUUCAGCAUUCAGGUGUUUGACGCCUAACACACCAUUCCCUAGGACAGCCACUGUGGGGUUAGGAGGAUCAAGUCCUGCUUCACCAGCCUGAUCUCCUUCUACAGCAACACAGCCUCUUAGUGCAUGAGGAAAAGGCUGGGGGGUCUGUACCUGGGCUUUAGUAAAGUGCCUUUAGUAAAGACACCAUCUCCCACAGCAUUCUCCUGGAGAAACUGGCUGCUCAUGGCUUGGGCUGGUGCAGUUUGCUGGGUGAAAGCCUGUCUGAUACCCAGUCCCAGGGAGUGGUGCUGACUGGAUUUACACCCAGCUGGGGCUGUCACCAGUGGUGCUUCCCAGGGCCCAGCACUGGCACAGCCCUGUUUAAUUAACAUCUCUACUGAUCAUCUGCACAAGGGCAUCAAGAGCACUCUCAGGAAGUUCAUGGACAGCAUCAAAGUGGGCAGGAGUGUGGAUCUGCUGGAGGGCAGGAAGGAUCUGCAGGGGAGUCUGGACAGGCUGGAUCAAAGGGCUGAGACCAACUUGUGAGGUUCAUAUGGUGAUCAUGAGAUUUAGGUAUAGUGGGGGGAAGAAAGAGCACCUUCUUCCUACUUUGGUUAUAAUUUUUUUGGCUUCUUUAUUAAUAAGGUUUGCUGGAUGAUAUUCUUAGAAUAUCAGACUGGGUGGAAGGGGAGAGCUUGAGAGAAAUGGUUGUUUCAGAAUAAGCAGCAUUAUACAUAUUACUUAUUUACAUUUCUUUAUUUGAAUUUUUAAAAUUUAGUUACCAUUUUACAAAAAUGGAACUGCCUCUGCAUGUGCUAGAGCUUGAAUUGUAACUGUUUUGUGGUUGAAAUCUGAAUUUAUUUUCAGCCCAGUUGUGUUAGCCAUCUCCAGGAUGAUUUUAGACUGCAAGUUGCUAAAUCUUAUAAAGGUCUAUAUGUGACUCUCCAAUAGGAGUAGAAAAAAAAAAAGUUUCUAGGGACUUGGUGUGUGCAGAAGCAUUUUCAGCAGCAAAAUCGAUACUACACUGUACAAGAGCAGGAUGAGUUUUGUACUUGUGUAGAAAUUUUACUCUGGUCUUUUGUGACUUUUUAUUUUCUUUAAAGUGUAAAAUAGAAUCUGCUCUGAGCAUACAUGGGUGUUCUUUUUGUUUGGUUAAACAGAACUGGUAUAAUAUAAGUGUGGAAUAUUAAUUCUAAUCUCACUAUAAACUUCUAAACUCUUACUCUGUAUUACACUUUUAUGUCAGGUUUUUGGGAAAGGAAUGACCACAAAAAUACAGUGGCUCUAAACACACUGGAAUAUCCAGUAUUUAUGUGGAAAUUUUAAUGAGGCUUUCAAAAAAACUCUACCUCUAAGGUCUGGCAGAAAGGGCUGUAUGCUUCAAAAGCACCAUCAUGUAGCAUCAUAAGACUGCCACAAACAGCAUUUCAUUAGUAAGGAAGUGGCAAAUUCAUCUUGCUUGAAUUUCGUGUCAGGAUGAAACAUUACAGGUAAAACUGACAGAUUAAUAAGUUCCUAGUAGGGAGCUUUAUGAGGGAAAAUUCCCAAGUAGGUGUUUCUGUUCAGAAAGAGACUGCAUGGAAAAUUGGCUUCAAUCAAGAAUUGGUUCUUGGUCAUCAAAAAUGCAAAAAUCCCUCCUGUGUCUGCCCUUAGUUCUGCUAGCAGAAUGAAAAUGAAGGAAAUUCCCACAGCUAAUAAAUGACACAUAGCUAUUAGACAUCACACUUAUUUUUAUGUCUGUUUACAAAUCUGUCAAGAAGUUGCUUAAACACACUUUUUAGUGAAAUAAUGUUAUUUUAAAGUCCUGUCUGGUUGAGUUUGAAGUCUGGUAGACCUUGGGUAUCUGUUACCCAGAGCAGUUAACACAGGUAGAUUGUUACACCUGGAAUGUCAUGGCUGAAGGAUUCCAGAGCAUCUCUGGGGCAUUCCCACAUUACUCUCCAUGUAACAUUACAGGUUUUUUAGAGAAAUCUCAGAAUAUCUUUUUUUUUUUCUUUCCUCUUCUAUGUAUUUUUCAUAUACUGAAAACCUACUGAGAAUAAUUAGCAAAUAAACCUCUGAAAAAUUAUCUAAUUAAUGGGAAAUUGGACUCAUGCAGCUUGGCUUUAGAGUUGAAGGGAACAUAUGUGUCUGUGUGCACAAUGGCCCUGUGUUCUUUCCUUAAAGGAUUUCAGGGAUGUAAAGUGAUAGGUUGGGAAGACUCUAAAUAUUUUCAGAAUUAACCUAUAAUCUACUAAAAUAAUGAGAGAGUGUUACAUAUAACAAUUUGGGUAAUCUUGGCCAGUUUAAAGGAGAUAUUUGACUUGGGGAAAAUUGCCAGUUUCUGUGUGGUAGUUUACAGAAUCAGGACUUCCACUUGAUAUUUAUGGUGAUGUUCCUCAGGAUCCUUUCUUUAAUGCUUAUUAUGAGUAAAUGACUUUUUUUUGACAUCGUAUAGAAGAACAGCAAAUUUUGCACCAUCUUAUGUGGCAAAAAUUGCUAUGCUCAUAAGCUUCAUAUUUUCUAUUAAAAUUAAUAGGAAAAAAAGAUAGUAUUAUGUUUCAAGAUUGUAUUAGUUUGCUUAAUAAAGAUCUUUGUUUCAGUGCUAAUAACUGAUGUGUUCAUAUAGAUUAAGAGUCCUGGGAGAGUAAAGAAAUCUGCAGCUCCAGCCCUGCACGUGUUUCCUUUUGUGACUCGCACGUUUGGGGUGGGUGCGGAUUUUCAAAUGCAAAUGAGAGAAUCCUCAUUAGAGGGAAGCCGGGCGUUGCAAUUCGGUUUUAGAACAACCCCUUGGCCUUUUCCCCUCAAUCCAAACCUCACCGUGGCACAGUCUGAUGCAGAGGCACAUCCUCUCUAUCCCAGAAGGAGCGAGUGUUGAUUGAACACAUUUGCUGAAUGUCCCUUGAGCACUGCAGCUCUGUUCAGAGCACUUGCCUUUGCUCUGGAGGGAGCUGAUUAACUAUUUAAAUGCUACAGCAGCCACCAAAAGUGGGCCUGAAAGAAAAAUGAGAAGAUGAAAUAUCUAUCUGCCUUUCUAUAAAUAAAAUGCAGGGAAUGAUUAAAGAUGAGUCUGACCUUAUUUAAUGCAUUCCCUUACAGGUCUUUACCACGCUGCUGUGUAUUUGCCAACAAAAAUAUCCUGCUCCCCAGGGUCAUCUGAUUCUGCAAUAUAUGUAUAUAAGUAAUAAAAAGUAUAAAUAUGUGUUAUCAGACCUCAGUAGAAGCUCCAUACUUUCUGCUUGGAAAGGAGGGGACAGGAUAGAAAGCUCACACAAGAGGCUGGUUUCUGUUGUGGGUGGUUUUUAUUUUUAUUUCUAUAAUACCUACUGCCUUGAAUGUCUUCUAGGCCUCUGCUGUGAAAAACGGAUUUUUUUUGAAGGGCUGGCUCUUCUUUUUUCUCUUUGUUUUCAUAUCUAUUCUUAAAUUAUUUUAAUCAAACAGAAAACUAGAACUAUUUAUUUUGCUUCUAGGUUUGUCUCAAAUACUUUUAUGAAUGUAGAAUUAAAAAUAAUGGAAUCACUGUUAACAGGUUUGCAAGUACAUGCUUUGAAACUCACCUAGAGACACAUGGGAGUGUUAUUAUCCUAAAAAAAAGCUGUUCAAUGUUUAUGAUUAAUACCCAAAAGGAAUUAAAAAAAAAGAUCCAAACCUGUUAAUUGGAAAUCUCCACAAAAUAUUCACUUUAGAAUAUUGAGACAUUUGAAAAAAAUUGACACACCUUAAGUUUUUUAGUUGUAAAUAAGUUAUUGUGAAAGUCUUGCUUUCUGAUAGACCUGAAUUUUUAAGGAGUGAAAAUUAGUUGAAACUGCUUGUCUGUGCUCAAGAUACAGAACUCCUUACUAUGCUGUUUCUCGUAAAAAUAUUAACAUUUUUUCUGGCUUGCACUGUUGAAAUUCUUCAAUGUUCAGUGAAUAACAGCAUGACUGAUCUGUGUAAUAUUUCUUCCUCUAAUAAAACUAAGAGGAAUCCUGCCUACAUUCCACAAACAAUAGCUGCAUGAGAUAUAUUCAAGAUUUAUGUUCAUUUAUACAAUAUUUAAAGUGAGAGCAAUUCCCAGCAUGGGGAGAUGUCAGUGUUGUCAUGGCAACAGAUGAAGAUGUGGCAGGAUGGAUGAAGCGGGUCUCAGCCUUGCCCAAGCUGGAGCCAAACCUCACCUGUGGUUUUGAGCCUCUCACCUCAGGAGCUGAACUGUGCUGCUCUCACUGUGAGAGGUGGGAAAAGGAGUAGCUGGCCUUGGGGGGUGAAUGUGAAGAGGUUUUUAUAAGCCUCAACACAAUGCCCCUUGUUCUGCCCCAUUUGAAGUGUUUUCUGCUGGUGACACAAGGCUGAGCAGGGAUCUGCUGGUGAUGGCUGCUGACAAGUGUGACUGUUCCUGUCUUUGAUGGCUUAGGCCAGCUCUACUUCUUCCAUUCUGCAUUUCCACAAAUGUCAUCAAUGCAAUUUCUGUCAGCUCAGUUUGGUUUACCUUCUCUCCUCCUUGCAUGUGUGAUGGUGCCUACACACACAUGGAAAACACAUGGAAGCAUUUGUUUAGCACCUUUCCUGAGCUACACUCUCCUUUUCUUAAGUUGGAAGAUGUAAACAAGUGGCUAGUUUGCAUUUGAUUUGAUUUGAAUUCUGUUUUGUCCUUCCUUACAGCUUCUCAAAUCCUCAGUUACACCUAGGGGCUGAGGGAGUGGUUUUGGCCAGGUUUUUUUUACUGUUUUUCAGUACUUGAGCAGCUUUAAGGAUGGUUCUUGUUCUGCAGUAGUUCCAAAAGAAACCAAAGGGAAAAUAAGAAUAGACAUUGGUGUAAUUUUCAUGUUCUGAUAACGGACUUACGUGUCACAAGAAACACAUUGCACUAAAAUCUAUUACAGAGAGGACCUGCAUCUUUAAAGUAACAUCAAGGUAUAUCAUUAAUUGACCAAACUCUAGGAAAUCAUCUCAUCUCUGCAGGAUUUGCUGUGCAGACACUCCUCUGUCUUUUUAAAGUUUAUAAUAAUCAGUACAAACCUGCGUAAUGACAUUAUACAGGGUUUCCUUUGAUGCUGUUUCUAGAUAUUUUUAUUCACACAAUAUUUCAGUCUGGUCGUAAAAUAAAAGGUGAGUUACAAAUUGUUCUUCAAGUUACAUUAGGGUUUCUUUAAGAAAGAAAGAAUGUUUUCAUUAUCCUUGCUGUGAUAAACUUUUACGUGGAUUAUUAAAUAGUUCUUUUGAAGUUUAAGGAUGAACCAGUACCUUACUGAUGUGCUUUGUUUUAACAGUUGUUUUGCCUGUGGAUCAGAACUUUCUCACAGAGUUAAUUUUAUAAGGAAUUGAAAAUGUUCUUGGUAUGGAACUGUACAAAUUUAAAGUGGUGCUGAGAGGAAACAGAUGCUGUACAUCCAUUUCAGGUCAGCUGCCAGAGAUUUAAAAAAAAAUUAACACCAGCAGAUUUUUUUACUUUUCUAACAGUUUGUCUGAACAUCACAGAGUGUUUAAGGCUCAGCCUCUGACUAUUAUCAGAUGCAAAUUUGCAAAUAAUCAAAGUGACUUUAAUUAACCUUUUCUUAAGAUGUAAGAAUCUGAAUUUGGUUAUUGCUGGAUGCCAAUUCAGACUUCUGUCUAAAUCUGUCAAACUAGUUGUAUCAAUAAAUGAUAAAGACUGUAUUUUAGACAGGUGUAAACUGAAUUAUAUAGGGAAACUAAUUGGGCACAAACAGACAAUCUGAACGCAUGUUAAAUGUCUAAUAUUACUGAGUAUUUACAAAAUUGUUUCCAUUUGUUUGUGCAUAUAUUCUAGCUGUCUCAAUGAACUUUUCUAAGAGUGCUCUCCAAGGUACCUGUCAUGAAAUUAAUCAUCUGGCCUGUGUUCAGUACUGCAGUUCCCAAAUGCCAACCCCUGUUUUUACAAUUUCUUUCACUGUAGAAUAUAAGAAUUCAUUGAUCACAUUUGCAUCAGUAUAAGCUGCAGACUUAAUCCUGAAUUUGUUAAAGAACAUCAAAGAUAUUGAUCAAAUAAUCACUGUUUGUUGUUGUUCCAUGACAUGAAAUAAUAGCAGAAACAAUUGAGAGAAUAAUUUGUAUUAAUAUACAGCAUGAACAAAGAUAAUUUGCAAUUUUAAUUAAAGUUCUUGCCAUUCUACUUACUUAAUAACUCUUGAUAAGCACUUUUUACUCCUUUAUUGUAUUUGCUUUUGAGUAAAUGCUUCAUUUGCAGCAAAAGCAAUAAUUGGUCAAAAGUCUUUGCCCAGUUCUUAAGGAAGUGGCUUAUUUUGGACCCUACUUCAUCAGUAUCACACCCCAACAAGUCAUUAUCUAUUGAGACUCUGAUAUUGAAAAUAUUUCCAAUUAAAUUAGUGUUAAUGCAAGUGUUCAGCAAAUGCAUCCGAGUCAGUGAUUAUCAGAUCUCUGCUCAGAUAACCAGUGAGGUCCCAGCUGGUGCUGUGUCACUGUGAGAUGAGAUCUGAGCCACCCCAGCACAGGGGAGCCAGCCUUGGACAGUGUGGGUGCCAGUCAGAGUCAUGGGGAGGAGAUAUUUGAGCUACUAAUGGGCAAGAUUAAUUUUAUACAUAAUUGUAAUUGUACAAGAACAGGAGAACACAGGUAUUUCCCUUCUAGGCUGGAAAUUAGAAGAAUACUAAAAGCCAUGCCAGUGAGUGAGUUUGCUCAUAGUUCCCACUGUAAAGUUUGUAACCUGUUGAUUUUGUUAAAUCAAAGCCCAGCUCUUACAGUAAAAUCAGGUAGGAAUCAGUGUUGGCUUUAAUACACAGCUGGCCAGGUAGGGAUCUGUCAUUUUGUUCCUGUUAUAACAAAAGCAAGUUCCAAAGAAGCCUUUUAUACAAAAGAGGGAUGCUUUUGCUGUGAUUUCCUGGGAAGAUCACACAUGUGAAGAAAAAAAAUGAAAAAAGUAAAUAAACGGAAUCUUUAGAGUAUGAUUUAGACUUUUGAUCCUUUCCUCCUCUGAAUUUUCUCUGUUGUGACUGGGAUCCAUCAGACCACGAUCAGGACUUUGAUUGCAUCAGUUUGAAAUGUUGAAAGUGAACUGUCAUUCCAAGAGCUCGUUUGUGUACCAGGGUUUUGGAUGGCAUAGCUGGGGGAGUUGUGCCCCAAGAUCCCUCCUGGACAGUUUGUACAGUCUUGUGGCUGAUAACUCAAAACACAGUUCAGUGCUAAAUGUCACAAAAAGUGAGCUUGUAGUGUACCUAGUGACUGAUCUUGAACCAUGGCCCUUAUUUUUUUGUCAUGUAUUUAUAAAAAAUGCACAGGAGGCCAGAAAUAAGUAAUUAUUUAUUUUGAAAUGACGAGCCUAUAUAUAUAUGCAUAUUAUAAAGAUUGCUUUCUGUGUCAUAAGAGCUUUCUGACACAUGAGAUACUGAAAAUCCAUUUAAAAAACAUUAGAACUACAUGUCUGCACUCUGAGGUGUUCAGAGUGAUCACCUCCAUUUCUGUACCAGGAUAAAUUCUUGCUGCAGAAGAACUUUCAGAAUUGUUCUUAAGCCCUUUCAAGACUUUAUGUGUGAACUGUGACUAAUCUCAUGGCUUCCAUCUGGAGCAGCUGUGUCAUUCCUACUUCCUACCCCAGAGGAGUCUCAACUCUAGCUCUGAAUUAAUUUUUUUCUCUCUGGAAAUUCUUUUCAAUUGCCUUUUCUUUAUUUUAUUUUUUGACAGAACGAAGUAGUGUAUGGCAGCAUAUUUUUUAAGAGAUAGUAUGCAGAAGGAAGUAAUCACAAUGCUUAAGAAGCUGUUAAAAAUUCUUAUUUGAAGAAAGCAUAUUAUCUUUCAGCAUUUCAAACCUUAUAUUUGCAAAAUAAUGUUUUCACUUGUAAGUAUUCUUUUAUCCAGCACUAUUGUUUGAUCAAGUUAUCUCAAUUUCCAUGGAAAUUUUUAGACUUUACUACACUCUAUUCAAAGUGGGAAAUUUUAAAUUUCAGCUGAGUGUUACAAACACAGACAACUGUAUGAAGAUAAGAUAAUCAAGUAGCAUAAAUAAACAAGCAUAUGUGCGGAACUUGGUGUAAAUUUACACAAUCUGAGACUCUGGACUCGUACUGCUAUGUGUGCAAUCAAGUUACCAUGAAAUACACAGCGAGGUGAAUUCAGAGUACUCUGGAACUCACUGUAAUUCUCUUUGCAUGCGUGACAAAAAGUAACUUGUUCUUUCUUCCAAAAGUAAGCUGCUAUUAACACAACAAUAUAAUCUACCUUUUUUGAAUGUUGCAAUAGUCUCUUCUCAGGGGUAGAGGGAAAAAAUUUGUUAGACUCUUCUAUAACAAGGCUAUAAAGAUAACUAAUUUGUGUGCUUGGUUGCAUUAACUUCAAAUAAUUUACAUUCAUUUUACACUGCUGAUUAUUAUAUUCUUGAUUUUUCUCUUAAAGUGGCUGAAUUAACUUGCUGCAGUGUCUUUUGUGCUGCUGCAAAGCCGACUUUGCAUUGCCUUAUGGCCCUGACCACCAGGCAGCUGGAAGGAUGAGUAAGAGCAACCCAGGGAAAACAAUACAAUAAUUUGUAAACUAAGAAGGAUGUCUCACCUGUGGGGGAGGCUGGGAGGUCAUCAAGAGCAGUGGCUGAGCUCACAUAGAGCUGUCAGUGAGUAUGAAAUACCUGUUUUGGCUGGGAAGGUUUGGCAGAAGGAACGUGUCUCCCCCAGCAGGCAGCAGGGAGGGAAAUCCCGGCCGGGAUCCAUCACUGGGGGCAUCAGGUUUGUGUCAUUUGGGGACCUGGACUGGGCUGCACAGGGUCAUCAGGCCAAGAAGGUUUAAAGCCUCACCUUGCAAGGAAGGAAAACAUCAAGCUGGCACAGUGGGAAUGGUGAGCAAGACAUCUUUGCUCAAUCUGCAGUGCUGCAGCAGUGUUACAAUCUCAGGUAUCACAAACCCCACCUCUUCUCCUGAAUUAAUCUCAGCUUCAAGGGUCAGGAUUGGUGACCACAAAUCCAGACCACUGGAUUUUUUUGUAAAUAUAAGUCCAGCGUUCUGGUGUUAGUAAUUCUAGGUUUCUUGCUUUUUUAAACCAGCAAGUAUUUUCAACAUGAUUUAGAAAUGAAAUUAAAAAACCCAACCCAAACCCAUCAUUACUGAUAUAUGAAGCCAGAGAGUGAGUAGAUACUGGUUGAUCGCUAAAGAGAGAGCAAAUGAAGAUCUCAGAAUGAUAAAAGUUUGUGUGUGUGUUCCUGUUUGUGUGUUUGGGGUUUUUUGCUUUCAAUAAUGAGAAAAAAUGUUUUAAAGAAUAUAGUGUUGCCAAAAUUUUUAAAAACUUUUGCUGUCUGAUGAUUGUAGAAAACAUUUUAACUCAUUUAAAGUUACAUCCAUUUUCAGAAGGCUAACUGUAGAAAUCUUGAAACUGGAUUUUCAGAGACUAUGAUUAUAAUUUCAGAAAAAUUAAGUCAGGAUGUUUUGGAUGAUUCCAUGUGUUGUUGGUGCUUAGUGUCUUCCACUGAAAAGUCAUUAGAACUCUAGGUGAACUGCAUAUCAACCCGCCCUGCUUUAAACAUUCCCUGUAUACUGAUCCAUAACAUUUUCAUCUUAGUUGUGAAGGCAGCAUAACAGGAAAGAAAAGCAGAAAGAUCAACAGCAGAAGUCCUUUGUAUGUUAAAAAAAUAUGUAUAUGCUGCUUGGCAUAAGAGGUUUUAUCCUGGGAAUAUGUUUGUAAGGCUUUCCAAGAGCUUGCUCCUUGGAGUUGUGCAUGCAACAGAAAAAAAAUAAUGCAUGCAGUUUGAGUUUUAUUGAUGUGAUUAUAUGUUGUAAAUAGUGGUGUACAACCUUGUAAUAUCCCUCUGUCUUAUCAUCACAUUUUUUAUGAUAUUAUCUGGACUGCCUUCUGUCCAAAUAAAUUAAGCUCAUCUCAUCAGAGAGGAUUGCAAGUCUUCUGUUACUUUGAUCAGAAUUAGCAGAAGAUGUGUCAAGCCAAUUACUCUAAAAUUGGGCAGAUGCAGAGCAGUGUGGUAUGUCAAUCACUUAGGGGGUUUUCUUUUAGUUUUACAACUCUGGCUCUGUCAGGGAAGCUCUUCCCAGUCUUUAAAUUGCUGGAUAUUAUUUCCUAUUGCUGCCUUUUGUCAAGACUGUGCAAUUGGAAGAAAACUGCAGCAGUUGUAAAAUGUUGUGAGGCGCUUUAUUUAGAAUUACCACAUUUAAAAGCUACUAACAGGGCUUGUUUAAACAAACACAGAACAAAGGAAAUUUGCUAGUAAGCCUCAUAUUUCAUUUUCAUUUUUGUUUAAUGAUUUGGAGCUCAUAGCUGAUGAGAUACAUUGGGUUUGCUCUUGGGCUGUAGACCAAGUCUGAGUGCAGAGCUAUUUUGUGUGUGCUGUGUGUCUGUGGCAUCCUUGCUGUCAGAGCAUCCCCAUGCUACAGCACUGAAGCAGGAUUGAUGACAGGGCUCUUUAUUGCAGCCCUUAGCACUAGAUUGUUGAGAUUAACACCUUGUCUGAGCAAGAGAUUUCUCUGAAGGGCCUGCAAUUCCUCCCCACAGUUACAUUCAACAGAGAACCAGCAGCCAGUUGCUUCUCUCCCCAGAAGUUUUGUUUAUAUUUCAGCUUAGAAAGAUAAAAGAUUGCACAGAUGAUUUAUUUUUUCUCUUUCUCUUUUUGACUUUUGAUCUGUUUAGCAGAAUUGUUUGUGUUCAGAACUUGACUGUUUAAUUAAAUUUGUGCAAGUACGGUGAAUUUUCAUUUCUUGGUGGUUUUUAUUAAUAGAGUAUUAGUAAUCCACUUAAAACUUGGAGAUUUCCUGGCAUUCCAGUAGCUGUAUAAGUAGUAGAGCCACGAUUUGCUAUAUUUUAAUUGAUGAGCUGAAAUGAGUCAAUUUUACUUGAAUUACUUGGACUAUUUCACUGCUUUGUGCAAAUAACACAAUUUUCCCUAUCUGAGUUAGUUUAAAUGUUAGUUUAAUGUUACUUUGAUUGUGACCCAUUAUAAAAUAUAAGGAAGGAAAUAAGUGAUAAAAUCUGCCAUUUGGUCUAACUGAAUGAAAAAAGCAACAUUUUCAGUCAUCUCCUUAUAACAAGUUACCUGACCAUAGAAAUUAGUUCUUAGUGUAACAAUCUAAGUGAUAAACUGCCACGGAUUCUCUGAUAAAGCAGUAAAUUUAAAUAAAUAUUGAUAGGACAGUACUGAGAUUAAAUUAUGAAUAAACUUGCUGAUUCAGAGUGACCACUGUUGCUUUGACAUUUUGUAGGUUUCUAGGCAAAAUGGACCAGUAAAAUUUAUGAUAAUUGUGGUAGUUUUCCAAUUUCCCCUCUGUUCCAAAGUAUCUGUUACUUUAUUCCAAUAUAAUCCUUCCAGGUGUGAAUUUUGGUGCUUUGUCAAUGUGCCUCAUAAAGAAAUUCUUGAACAUACUGACCAGUAAAGGGAGAGCAAGUGAUUUUGCAUUUUAAAACUGCAGAUUCUUAGACUGUGGGAACACCUCUGUGAGAAUUUAAGUAGUUUAUAAUGUUAAAUGGCAGAAAUUGAACUCUCACUUGUUAAAAUGGAAGAUUUAACAGAAGGGUUUAAUGGGGUGUGGAACACUGUGAAAAAGUAUGUGGAGGUCCUUAGCAUGAAAUGCUGUGUGCUUAAGUUCUGAGAGCAGGUUUUCAGGCUCAUACAUGUUAAAAUGGGCUGGAGAAAUCUGGUCAGAUGUCCUUUCUCACAGUCAAUUGAGGUAUCUAAAUUUUUUCACAUCAAAAAGCAACUUUAAAGUGGAAUCUGUUUAAACAUGUAUGUAUAACCAGGUUUUAAAGUUUCCCCAGUAAGUCACUUGGCUGUCUGUGAUGGUGGAUUCCUAAUCUCCCUUUUUAAAAGGAAAAAUCUCUAAGAUUGUGCUGUAUUCUGGCAGCCUGCUUAAUUGUACUUGGCAGCUUGUUUUGGCUCUGGAGCUGCUCACCAGUAUUCUAAUUAAAUAGGGGUGCCCUGAUAUGUGUCUUGUCUCUGAAAUCAAUAGGGAUGAUGAAAAGGGCUGUGAAGGCAACUAAUUAUCUCUCAACAACCAAUGCUUUUCAGUUUGGAUCUUCCCUGGUUUUCAUAUUUCUAAGUUUAUUAAAAUACUCAGAGAACAAACAUUUAGUAUGAGAUGAAACCUCAUGAGUGUGAAUUUCCUCUGGCCAUGUGCUCACACACCUUGUUCCAUUCUUGGCAGGUUCAGGAGAGCCAUAUAUAGAGAAAUAAAUAUAAAUCUAUUUAUACAUAAUAUAAAUCUCCGGCUUUGGUUUUGGUCAUGGUGUGCAUGGGCUGCAACCAGGAGCAGCCUUAGGUCUCUAAAUCCCAAAUGUAGAUGUGAAGAGAAUUUAUUCUAUUUCUGUUUAUCUUCCUCAAGAACAGCAUUGCAAGACAACCACCUGUGAGUUAAGGGAGGAAUCAGACAAGAGUAUCAAGGAAAAUGCCAAGCAAAUAUCUUCUUUUAGCUUCAUAAAAAAAUGGAACACAGAUAGGUGGUUAUACUAGAAAUAUUUUUAAAAAAAAGUUUCAGCCUGCCUCAAUGUUCUCAGAUGCCUGACUUUGAAUGUAAUUUUUAAUAGCUCUUUCUUAUAAUUUUUUUGGUGUAUUCAUUACUUGAUGUCCAGCUGACAGUUUUGUAUGGACUCCUUUUUCUCUGUUCCAAAUUCAGAACUUUUCAAAGGGAGCUAAAAUGAAGGAUGCUUAAAAUAGUCACCUUUGCAUUCAUGGCUCCACUGCAUUUGUGUUCUAGAGGUUUCAGCAGGACGAAACCAAGCUUAAAAACCUAUCAGUAGGGGUAAAGUAGUCAUAUCCAUUUCAGUAAUUAUAAUUACAGUGUACUAAUGCAAGUUAAGGGACAAUGCAGAAUCAUUUUCAAAAUGAAUAUUCUUUCCAGUACUUAAUACACUUCUGAAGACGUGCUGUAUUUCUCUAUAGAAGGAAAACUGCUUUGAUUUUCAGAAGUCUGUUCAAAUACUUUUAGUAUAAAAAUAGUCUCUCACAACUGUUGAGCUGUGGGAAUGCCAUAAAGCUCCUCCAGAUUGUUUCUAAUUGGGGUAAUUUUCCAUGGGUAAAGUUUGCAGUUCUCAAAGUGAAGGCUUUGACAAUGUGAAAUAUAAAAGGCAGGUCAUAGUAGGACACACUUUAUUGAAAUAGAGAAGAUACUGAUGGUGCCUGCUGUCACUCUUUGCAGAAUUACUCCAUUUUUUGUAGGGUAAAAUGAUUUUCCCUGUGUGUAACCCCCUGGACUAUGGAAGCAUUUGCACCCUGUUUUGGAGACAGAAUCCUGGGACAUGUGGAAGGGUUGGCAGUAGGGUGUGUAGGACGGUGUCCCACCUGGAUCUACCUGUCUUUUCACACAGUUACACUCUCUCUUCAGAGUCCACUCCUUCUGGAUUAUUAAAUUAUUCCAUGAUUAUUAUAAUUAUUAAUUUAAUUAUUAAAUUAAUACUCUGAAACUGGAACUCCAGCACUUGGACAUUUCUGAUAUAUUUUUUUCUAGUCUAAAUCUAGCAGACUUCAAAUUGAGCACCUUUGCAUAAUGAAGCCAGUAGGCUUCUUUACAAACAAAUAACCCUGUCAGGGGCAGGGGAUGCAGUACUCACUGAUUAUGCUCUUUCUUUGAAGUGUGCUGUGCUUCUAAAUAAAAGUUAUUAACAAUAUUUUUUUCUUACAGAGACCAAUAUACAGUCAGUAGCACAGCCAGUUAUAUUCUUACAUUUAUUGUUGGCUGUGCUGCAGUUACCCUGAUUCCUUGCAUAUAAAUUCUAUGUUAAUACAUCUGAGCUUUUGUACAAUAUCUGUCUUUAAUUAUCUUUUUGAAAGGAUCUCUUCAUCUUUCUAAUGUGACCACAGGACAGGAACUUACCAAAACCUGAGAAUAAUGGCAGUGUUUCAUCUCUUUGAUUAACAAUUCAAAACUUUCAGUGAUUGGUAAAAAUGUUUAAUCUGUGUCCUAGCUGUUACAGGUUUGAGGAUGCAUGAAUUGGUUGAAUCUCUAUGAAGAUUCCAGAAGCCCUUUAGGUCAGUUAAGGGUCUUCACCUCAGUGUCCUGGCUUAUUCUGUUAAUUUUGUUUUAAAUCAACUGGUCAGACCCCCAAAACCAGGUUAUUUUCUUUUGUGCUAAGUACAACCGCAAUGCUUCUCUUGCCUCCAGUCAGUGAAACAAAAAUAGGGAGAAGUUUUGUGUUUGGAGAGUCUCCCAGGUCAUUAAAUCUAGAUAACCCUUGUCUGGAAACAGCAAGUUACAAAUCUUGGCCAGAGGGCUUUAGGAACAGCUGUUGAGUGCUUCUGAUAUCACCCAACAUUUGUGGUAAUUUGUAGCUUUUUUAGCCAUGGUACCACUCCUUGUCCCAGUUCAGGGUCAAAGAGCUUCCUUUGGUUUUGGAAGCUCACUCCAGGCUUGAAAUUACAAAACUCAUAGAUUGUAGACAUAAGCUGCAAAAACCUCCCUGGUAAAUGUUCAGUUACAAGCAUUUGCAACAUUCUAGGCCAUUUCAGUUGUUAUAUUUGGAGAUGGGGCAUCAAUAAUACAUAGUUUCAUUAAAAGACAAUGUGCUUUAAUGUCAUUGCAGUAAGUUAUUUUGGGCAUUUCAAGUGACCCCAUUUGAAAUACAACAGAUGAAAGUAUGCACCUGUAUAUUCAGUUUCAGAGAGUUUGCACCAUGUAUCUAGCUGUUUUUUUAUAGACCUAAAAGUUUUAUUAUUUCUAUUCUGAAAUGCCAACAUAUGCAUUUAGUAUCCUGAUAAAGCUCAACUGGAGCUGUAACAUAUGGGCCCUCCUUUAGCUCCGACCCCCUGGAAAGCCAAAACGAAACAAAAAGACCAAGUCCUCCUUUGCUCUGAUUUAUUUGUGUUCUCCUUUUUUUUUUUUUUUUGAGAUAUCUUGUUUGAAAACAGAAGGUUGGCACCUGAGAGAGGAAGCACGGGCGUGUGUGAAGCAGUGGGAUGCCAGACAGGAGGGAUGCUGCUCUCUCCUGUGCUUUGCAGAGCACUUGCACAUGCUGGAAUAUUGCUCCUGAGCAGCCCUGGAAAUUGCUGCUAACUCUGCCUGAUGGGAAUUGCCUGAUUUCUGGCUUUACAAACAGCUUUCCCUAAAGAAAUGGUUCCUGGUGUUCAUCUCUAGCAAUGCUGGGAAAGAAUGCCAUAGAAAAAGGACAGCUCUGCUAUAGCUGGCUGACCAUUUAUUAGUGCUCUACUCACUGAAGGGUGGCAGGGAAAGCUUGCUGUAGUAGAAGAUAUUUCAGCAGCUGUUAAAAGAUAUCCCAGACAUUUUUUUCUUUUUCUGAAAUCAGGGACAGAUUUACCAUCAGUGCCUGUGUGUCUCUGUCAUUCAGGGGCUUUAUACCAGGCUUCUUUAUAUCACUGCUAUGCUCAGUUUGCUGUGUGUUGCAGCUGGGUCACUGUGUUCUCCACAGGGGUAAUGUUUUCAUCAUUUGGGAAGUUAUCCUUUGUUUUCUGUAGUAGGAUUAUUUCACAGUUCAGGAUUGGGCAGUCCUCUGGGUUUGCCCACUCUGGCCCUUUUGUGGGACAUGCCAGGGGAGGCCUGGCUGCUCCUUUGGUGGCAAAAGGAGAGGUAAAAAUAAACAGAAGUGAAUCUGCAGCCUAAGUGAGGUUUAGCUCUGGACUGUUUUGCCAUUCUUGGUUCUUUCUAUUGCUGAGCACCAUGGUAUAAUGGAUAAUCAGUUUCAAAUGGAAACAAAAAACAUGUAAGCAAAGGGAGUUAGAGGAGAACUGACAUUUCUUUUCAAGAACUACAAAAACAGGUGUUAAAAACUUGUAUAAUUGAAACAUUAAAAAUGAAACACUUAAUAUAGAAAAUACUGAAAUCAGCAAUAAUAAUAAUAGUAAUAAAUAAUGUUAAAAAAUCUGCUAACAUGUGAACAAACUGGAAAGAACUGUUUAAAUUAAACUCAAGGGAAAACCUUUGAACAAAGUCCUGAAACUUUCUUCUUCUAUUAUAAUAAUAAAUGAGGAAUACAUUCAACUUAUAUAUGCUAUUGUAUCUCGCUGCAGAAAAUGAAAUUCUGGAAGUUUGUAGCUGCUAAAGAUUUGACCAUGGCCAAACAAACAUGCAAAAUAAUUAACUGCAUAAUAGACAAGGAAAGACAAUUAUUCCUGGAAGGUUUUACUACUACCAAUAGCAAAAUUUCUUGCCUUACUGAAUCGGCAAAGAUUUUUUCAGGAUACCUUGAGGAUUUUUUUGUGCUUUCUUGGCCUGAGAGUGAUGCCCCAAGCAGUGGCAGAGCUGAAGAGUUGAUGUCUGGUCUAGAGCCUUGUUCACUCAGUCCCAGAGCUGAACUUCCCCAAGGACUGAAAUCUCCCAGGACUCUCCUGCAGUUCAUUCUGCACAGCAUUGCUGUGACACCUUUCAGGCAGGUGGAAAAAUGAACCCUCUUUGAGACUUCUCUAAAAUUGAUCAUGAAUUCUAAUGAGAUGAAGAUCCAGGUUUGAUGUGCAUGAAGUUAAGACUUCCCUUGGUAGAUACAUCACAGUAUAAUGGUACUGAGCAGAAAUGAGGGCCUUUAAAUGAUGCAAUAUAAACUGAGAAAAUGAGCCAAAGGUUUUGUAUAGAUAACGUUUUUACACUUUUGCCAAUUACUUUGGGAUAGAAAAAUGGAUCUAGAAGGAUGACACUGAUGGAUAGCUCUGGAUCUACCCAUGAAGAUAAGGUAUCUGGUAGACUUGUGUCUCAGAUACUGAAUGUGUGGCAGCCAUUUGUCGAUGCUGAUGCAGAAAUUUAAUGCAUGUGCAUAAAAAUCCUUAAAUUUUUCUCUACUAGAAUUUUGGAGAAGGGAGAAGGCACCUGAGGCACCUGUUGAUUUGAGUCAGUAGCAUUUUUAACAAGUAUUAACAUGAUCAGAUAUGUCUGCUCUUUGCCUUCAGUUGUUGUGAGGGAUUUUUAGAAAAUUACUGCUUACUUGUUUUUCUCUAUUUGGAAGGGAUUUAUUUUGAAAAAUUUGUUUAACAUUAGUUUAGAUGUUUUACCAACAUUAGGCAAUGACAACAGACUGUAUUUCAGUCUCACCUGUGAUUCAGCAGAACUUCCAGUCCUCUUGCUUGUGACUGUACAACCUGCAAGAUCUGCAUUGUAAUAUAUAGAGACAAAAACCCACCACUUUCAGCAGUGUUCAAGUUGCCUGACUGAUUUCUGCCAAGUGCAGGUCAUGUGCUUUUGAAGCCUUGGUAUUUUAUGUGCUGACAUCCAAGUGUGUCUUUCAGAAAGUCUAAUUUCAAAGGAAACAUGAUGGAGUUAUUGUCCCAUCUAGAGGAGCUGCCUAAAAAUAAUUUUUCACUUUCUGAGUGGGUAAAAGGAGAUUUUUAUUACAGAUGGAGGAGCAGUUUUUAUAUACCAUCUCUCAUUUGUAGUCAGACUCAUCCCAAAAGUUUUGUUUGAAAUACCUGUAGUCAGUGCUAAUUUUCUAUCCUAUUUCUUGUCUCCUAGCUUUGUACAAAAAGGCGCCAGGGAGCCCUCCCAACACAGGGGAGGAAAUGAGAGUCCCAGGGUAACUGCAGGGUCCUCACCCUGGAACAAAUUUGAGCUGGAUUAAACCUGCCAAGGUUGGUGGCAGACUAGAUGUCUGGAAAGUGAAAUUGAAACUAUUCUGUGGAGUUAAGGCCCUAGUUACAUGAUUUCUCUCUGAGGCACAUGAAAUGAAUAAAACCCUUAUUUUGUAGAAGGUGUAGGAAAUAGGCUAUUUUUUUUAUAAUUUGGAAUCACUUUGAAAGAGGUGAAGGAAUUCCAGCAAAACCUGACCUACAGGCCAGCAGGGUUCACAAAUUGAUAUUGCUGUGCAGGUGGAGACAGAGGUAGAUUUGUUGCUUACUGUGCUGGCUCUAUUUUUAGCUUCUGAUUGCUUGCAAGUUCUGUUUACAAAUGUCAGGAAAAUGCAUUAGGAUUAUCUGCUUUAUUGUAGAGGUAAUAAAACGUUGUCCAAUUUAGCCAAUAAAACAGCUAAAAGCAGGCUCCCACUGUCAUGGCAGUGCAGCUGCUAAAUGUGGCCUCACAGUGGUUUUAUGCUGCCUGCUCUGUUCUUUCCUCAUUUCUUGUUUCCCACCAUUGUUGUGGCUCAGUAUGGAGAUUAGGAAUCUCUGGGGGGUUUUAUUCCCAUCUGGGAGUAGCUGAAAAUGCACUUUGGGAAGAGGGAAGGAGAGGGAUCAGCAGAAGCUCUGUGGCCCAUCCCUGCAGUGCCCUCCUGGAGCCCAGCAGUGGCACUGGAGGUGUAAGGUCCUCAAGUAUUCCUCUGCCCAGGGCUCUCAAAUGCUUGGCUGCUAAGAAAUCCCUCCCCAAGAGUCCUUUCAACUCCAGUCUGGAGUGGGAACCAGUUGUUUUUAGUGGAUGUGGUUGGUCUGGUGCAGCCUGUAUUGGCUGAUGCCCUGUAAUCCAGUAUUAGAGCUGCUUUCACUGCCACAGAACCUGUAUUCAGGGACAAACAUCCUGUUUAAGCUGGGAUGACUUACUGGGGGGCUUUAUGACUGUACUUGCCACUAGAAGUAUAAAUGUGCUUAAUUCAGGGCUGAAGGUGCUUUAACAUUGUAAUUUGAUUCUGAAAGAAAAGGAUAUGUGUUGUUUAUUCCAUUAGAAAACCAGUAUGUCAAUAAAUAAUAUAGAAAUAUGUCUUUCCAGUGCUUAAAAGGUCUUUAUUACCUUUAUUAUGGCCUUCUACCACUAAAAGUUAGUGUUGUAGGAUGCCAGUACUAGUCAUAUUCACUAAUUAGCAAUAAGGUUUGAGCAGAGUUGUGACACUGUUAGUUAAUACUUGUUUUUCAUUGCUCAUUGCUGAUUUAGGUGGCUCAAGACAAACAGAUUGUGUGUUACUGCUGUGAUAGAAUACAUAAAAUAAAAAUAGUUCUCAUGCAGAAUUCCCUGUGCUUUAAAUAUACCAAAUAUAUUCCUUCAAGCAUCCUUAAGGUGUGGAACUGCUAUCUGUAUGCAGUUCAUCACCAGAGAAAUUACAUAUUCAUUUUUAAAGGAACCAUACAAUUAGUUUCAAGUCUGGAUGUGAGUUAGGAAAAAAACCUGGCAAUUUAGUAAAAACUGAGGAGUUAAUUCCACUAGAGGGGUAAGCUAGAAAUAGGAGUAAAUGUGUUGCUUUGAACUGCAUCAUAUGGAAGCAGCAAUGACAGGAACAUUGCAAGUUUCUAUGUACCUGUGAAUCCCCAUCAUUUUUUUUGCAACUUCUGCUGAUUUUGAAACUAUAUGCCUCUGAGGAGGCAGACAAUGAAAAUUUGAUAGGCAAUAUAUUAUUAUGCAGUGAAGUGUUGAAAUUUGCAGAUCACUGGCAAGUCUGACCAAGAAAUAUAGCUUCUUUUUUUUUUUUUUUCCCUAGGGAAUGAAGUGUGGGAAAUUAUGGUUUAAAAUGAGAGGGAAAUAUAAAUCUACACUGUUUCAGUACUCUUCAUCUUUGAGAAAAUUGGAGUCUGGAGAGGAACCUUGAUGACUUGUCUUUGUGUUUUGGCCAAAUGUAAUGAUAAAGUCCAAAUAUUUGUGACAUCUGGCUUGCUCGUGACCACACCUAGGUCUUAGAUUCAUAACAAAAGGGUUUUUUUCCCAAGAAUUUAAUUUCUGUUUAUCCAGAUAAGUGCCACAGAACUGCAGCUUGCUGUUAACUGAAAAGAACAGUCAAAUCAUAGCAUCUCUCUUCUGCCAAGCUGCUCUAAUGAACACUGAGAAUUAGAUACUAUGUUUGUCAGUGUAACAUUGACAAAGUCAUUUAUGAGUCUGGUUUUUUGAUUUAUUUGGUUUUUUUCCCUAUAAAAAUGUGUUCUUCUUAAGUUAGCUGAUACCUGUUCAUAUAAAAGUAGUCAAAUCAGUCCUUGUAGACUUUAUUUCAAGCUCUCUUAAUACUGCAGCUGCAGUUCUGUGGGUUUAUUCAGGGAGCAGAGGUUCAGGUGGCCUUUCAAAAAACACAAAAAAAGCAAGAAGGAUGGAAUGCUCAGUGCCUGAGAGCUUGCCUGGGCUUGCUGUGACCCUGAGAGCUGCAUUUGGUGAAGUCCUUUCUCCAGGAGACUCCUCUUCCUGCCUUCUGCCUGCUUGAGGUAUUAGUUCUGGCUUAGGCCUUCCUAGAAUUGGAAACUGAGGUGAUGAAAUUAAGAUGUGAGGAGUGAAAUUUUUUAAAUUGUAGGCUUUUUUUUCCCCUAGGUGUUAGCAUAUUUUCAGUCCUGGUUAUUUUUUAGAAGGUACUAUAUGGUCAAAACGUGGGCUGCUCAAAACUUUUCCUGCUGAUAUUUUUUUGUUGGAAGCCACCAAAAUGAUGGGAUCAGAAGCAUUUCUUGGGGCUGUGUGAGUUACCCUGGGGCUUUUUGCCUAAAAGUUGGCACUCAAGAAGUCUCAGUGGGCCUGUGUGGUUUUUUGUCAUCCACUUCAGGUGGCCUGAAACUCCUGGCUGGAGCAAGGAGCACCUUGAGAUGUGUGAAAUUUUCUGAGAAUUUGAUAUUGUAGUUUCAAAAUGUUUUUGUUCAUAUCUAAAACACAGCUUGUUUUAUGAGCAGACUUUCUGGAUGCAGCUCAAUCUUCCCAGUUUCAGUUUUGGAAGAAAUCAGCAUUCUGACCAUUUCCUGUGGCACAAGGUCUUUUGUAGACAUUUUAAGUGUUCUAGUGGGAAUUGGGUGAAAGUAAAUCCAUGUGUUAAAACUGGUUUUGUAGCUCUUGAACAACAGAAAAA
Non-coding RNA from Taeniopygia guttata (zebra finch), 27202 nucleotides. Lineage: Eukaryota; Metazoa; Chordata; Aves; Passeriformes; Estrildidae. The record is from RefSeq and is a predicted model, not a curated record.